UACGUAGGUGGCAAGCGUUGUCCGGAUUUAUUGGGUUUAAAGGGUGCGUAGGCGGUCUAUUAAGUCAGUGCUGAAAUAUCCCGGCUUAACCGGGAGGGUGGCAUUGAUACUGAUGGACUUGAGUAAAGUUGAGGUUGGCGGAAUUGACGGUGUAGCGGUGAAAUGCUUAGAUAUCGUCAAGAACACCUAUUGCGAAGGCAGCUAACUAAGCUAACUGACGCUGAGGCACGAAAGUGUGGGGAUCAAACAGG
RNAcentral lists this ribosomal RNA (251 nucleotides) under uncultured bacterium. RNAcentral's name for it is "partial 16S ribosomal RNA". It matches the Rfam family "Bacterial small subunit ribosomal RNA", at positions 524 to 776 of the family's 1533-position model. The record is from RNAcentral.